Amborella trichopoda is the source of this 2116-nucleotide RNA transcript. It is a transcript of the gene named calmodulin-binding receptor-like cytoplasmic kinase 2, with no coding region annotated. The record is from RefSeq and is a predicted model, not a curated record. Lineage: Eukaryota; Viridiplantae; Streptophyta; Magnoliopsida; Amborellales; Amborellaceae.
AACUCUCUUUACUCCAUAACCAAAUGAAUUUCCGAGUCUAAGUCUCAGUUCGAAUUUUCUCUCUCUAAAAUAAUCCCAUUACGCGGCCAAUUACGCCAUCACUGUUGACUGGAGUCCGCCACUUUUGGCCGGAAAUGAGCCGUCCGGUAACGCCUUCCGGCCGAAGUGUGAAAUCCAGCGGCCGGACCACCCCUAUUCAUAGCCGUGAGUCCUCGUUGAAUCCCGGCUAUGCACCGUCCCCCAUUUGCCGGAAUUCGGAUUCCAGUGGGCGGAAUCCGAUGAAAAUUGUGGCCGGGAUUUUUUCCGGUGCUGUGAGCUCAUGUUUUUCCGGGAGCACGAGCAGUAAAUCGUCCUCAGUUGAUGAGAGUUUUGAUGAUCUUAAAGCGCCUUCUGUUUCAUCAAGGACUUCAGGUGUUAGUGAAAGAUCACGAUCAAGAAAGGCAAUAUACUCUAAUUCAUAUAAUUCUACUGAGACACAACCUGGAAGCAUGAAAUUUAGCAUCGAUGAGAUAUACAAAGCCACUAGAAACUUCUCGCCGUCUUUCAAGAUAGGACAGGGUGGGUUCGGGACUGUUUACAAAGGAAGGAUCCAUGAUGGAACUGUUGUUGCCAUUAAGCGUGCAAAGAAGAAUAUGCAUGAUAAGCAUUUAACUGUAGAGUUUCAGAGUGAGAUCCGGACUCUUGCCUGUGUUGAGCACUUGAAUCUGGUUAAGUUUCUAGGAUAUUUGGAGCAUGGAGAUGAAAGGAUUGUGGUUGUGGAGUACGUCCCCAAUGGAACACUUCGAGAGCAUUUGGAUGGUGUCAAUGGUGAUACGUUAGAUCUUGCUGCUCGGUUGGAUAUUGCCAUUGAUGUGGCUCAUGCAGUCACAUAUCUUCAUAUGUAUACUGAUCGUCCUAUCAUCCACAGAGACAUUAAAUCUUCAAACAUUCUCCUCACUGAAAAUUUUCGAGCAAAAGUUGCUGACUUUGGAUUUGCUCGCUUAGCUUCAAAUGAUGAUGGUGCUACCCAUGUCUCCACACAAGUCAAAGGAACUGCAGGUUACUUAGAUCCUGAAUAUCUCAAGACUUAUCAGCUCACAGAGAAGAGUGAUGUCUUCUCGUUUGGUGUAUUGUUGGUAGAGAUAAUUACGGGAAGGCGCCCGAUUGAAGCCAAAAGGGAACUCAAAGAACGGGUUACGACAAGAUGGGCAAUGAGGAAAUUCACAGAAGGUGAAGCUAUUUUAACAUUGGACCCAAGAUUACGGCGAACUCCAGCAGCUAAUUUGGCACUAGAAAAGAUUCUUGAGCUUGCUUUUCAAUGCUUAGCUCCAAGUAGACAUUCACGACCAAGCAUGAGGAGGUGUGCUGAGAUCUUAUGGAGCAUUCGCAAGGAUUACAGAGAGCUUAUUGCUUCAGAUCCACGUUCUUUGUCCUCUCGUUCAAAGAGUCCUUGACAGAUGAUGGAAAACAAUAACAAAGAUUGAACGUCCUGAAAGGAUUACAGAAGAUAUCAGGCUUCUAAUGUAGCUUCUGAAUUUCGAAGUUUGAAGCCUCCAGAUUCAGGGCCACUUGCUGUUUUCAUAUGGAGGGAUUUCAAGAAAGCAUGACUAAUGACCACUCCUAAUAUUAACAGUAUUUCUAGAGGGAAGAUGGCAUUGCAAUUCCAAGAUGAAAUUAUCAAUUGCAGCAUCUAUAAGGAAUGGUUCCUGUCAAAUUCACAUUUGAUACUAUCUCGUGGGAAUUGUGGAAUAUCACUCAGUACUUGUGGAGAGAGACAGGUAACAGAGACCAAAAUUUUAGGAAAAGUUUGUAUCCAAAUGACCAAGUUUUUUGUUCUGAAAAAGCUCGACACAUCAGAGCGCAACGAUGUUUACUAAGAUAGACCAAUAAAAAACGGCAGAAAACAUGGCCAAACGAACUCAAGCAAGAUCUCUAGAAACUGAAUUGUUGGAUGAAUUGAGACCCUUCCAUCAAAUCUACAUUAUCUGCAGGGCAAAGAUUUGCUGGAUUGAAGUAGGAAGGAUUGAAGUUCUAAGAGUGUCUUCCUUUUGUACCAUGGAUACCUCACCAGACUCAACUUCAGGUGGUAAACAAAUUGAUGCGAAAAGGAAAGAGAGAUUCCAACAUGGUUUCCUUA